Molecule: ribosomal RNA, 253 nt
Filed under: uncultured bacterium
Lineage: Bacteria
Description: partial 16S ribosomal RNA
Rfam family: Bacterial small subunit ribosomal RNA
Source: RNAcentral
UACGUAGGGGGCAAGCGUUGUCCGGAAUCAUUGGGCGUAAAGAGCGUGUAGGCGGCCCGAUAAGUCCGCUGUGAAAGUCCAGGGCUCAACCCUGGGAUGCCGGUGGAUACUGUCGGGCUCGAGUCCGGAAGAGGAGUGUGGAAUUCCUGGUGUAGCGGUGAAAUGCGCAGAUAUCAGGAGGAACACCGAUGGCGAAGGCAGGUCUCUGGGCCACUACUGACGCUGAGAAGCGAAAGCAUGGGGAGCGAACAGG